This 1253-nucleotide long non-coding RNA is filed under the name Callithrix jacchus (white-tufted-ear marmoset). RNAcentral describes it as "lncRNA (ENSCJAG00000071396.1)". The record is from RNAcentral. Lineage: Eukaryota; Metazoa; Chordata; Mammalia; Primates; Cebidae.
AGAUUCUAUUACUCUGGUUUUUAUCUUUUGAAACCAGCUUUUUCAUGCAACAUAAUGUUUUGAAAUUUGUCUCUGUUUAUUCAUGGAAAUGUGGCUCAUUGUCAUUGUUGAUAUUAUAAAUAAGUGAAUCUUACUCUAAAUGGUCUUUUCUUCAUUUUGUUCACAAACAGCUCUAUAAUUAUUGUUUUUGAAUACGUUUCCUACUGAAAAUGUGUAAAUGUUCCUUUAGGGUAAGUUUCUAGACAUGGAAUUGUGGAUCACAGACUAUUCUUCAAGUUGAGUGGAUAUUUCCAAAUUAUAGUGCCAUCAGAAAUGAAUGAGUUCUUGCUUCCCAGCAUUUUUGUCAACAGAAUUCUUUCUUUUGAGGAGGCAAUAAUGGAAGUUGCUGCAGACCCAUAUGGAUUCAUUGCUGGUAACAUACUUCGGUGCUACGUGACUCAAAUAUGUCAUUCUGCUGUUAACACAAAGACAUCAAGAAUAAUUUGCCUUAUUACUCUUACUGUUAUCAUGAACAGCAGCAGCAGCAUUGUUCCACCCUUUAAAUAAGGCUGUGAAGGAGUUGAAAAAGAUGUGGCUUUUUAACAAGGAGAAGACUGAAUUGAGCUCCAAACAAGUCACAUUCCUAGAGAAAGGUACCUGGGCAAGGUAACAAUAUUAAUAAGAGUUUGUUAAAUAAAAGUAUGGUGAAAGUAUAAAAGGUUUUGCCAACCUCUACCUUCAGCUCUCUAUAGCAGGUAAGUGAGAAUGAAAGCAAACAUUUUACAUUUCCUGACCGUAAACAAAGGGAAGCUUGAUGUACAAGUUUUUACACUCUUCCUUCUCGAGGUCUGAGAUCAGGUAAAGUCAGGGAAGGAAGACAUAUAUGACAGAGCAAUAUCAAUUACUAAGACCUUAGUUUCCAGGCAGAUCAUUUGGGAUUGCAUCUUCAAACUUCCAUUCAUUGCUUUAAAAUGUGACAAUAAGCCUUUGGAUGGUCAAUGUUAAGUGACUGAACUUUAUAAAAUAUAUUUUGCCACCUGAGUUCAUUCUGGUGUAUCCAUGUCCCAGAGCCAGGAGGCAGAAAAACUGAUCUCAUCCUUUAAAACGGACAUUUUUAAACUCAGCACUGUUGACAUUUUGAGUCAGGUAAUUCUCUUUUUCUCUUUUGAGACAGAAUUUGCUCUUGUUACCCAGGCUGGAGUGUAGUGGCAUGAGCUUGGCUCACCGCAACCUCCACCUCCUGGGUUCAAGCAAUUCUCCUGCCUCAGCCUCCC